This 579-nucleotide ribosomal RNA is filed under the name Huonia oreophila. RNAcentral's name for it is "eukaryotic LSU rRNA". It matches the Rfam family "Eukaryotic large subunit ribosomal RNA", at positions 1389 to 1888 of the family's 3401-position model. The record is from RNAcentral. Lineage: Eukaryota; Metazoa; Arthropoda; Insecta; Odonata; Libellulidae.
UCGCGGCGGUGGGCGCAGAAGGGUCUGGGCUCGAGCCUGCCUGGAGCCGCCGCCGGUGCAGAUCUUGGUGGUAGUAGCAAAUACUCCAGCGAGGCCCUGGAGGACUGAUGUGGAGAAGGGUUUCGUGUGAACAGCCGUUGCACACGAGUCAGUCGAUCCUAAGCCCUAGGAGAAAUCCGAUGCAAACGGCGAUGGGAAACGCAAAAGAAAGACGACUGCUCGUCCUAAAGAGACAGAGACCCAUUGAUCGGGCGAAAGGGAAUCCGGUUCCUAUUCCGGAACCCGGCAGCGGAACCGUUGUUUGUCGGGCCCUCACAAGGGGUUCGUCAGGGCAACCUAAAAGGGCCCGGAGACGCCGUCGGGGGCCCCGGAAAGAGUUUUCUUUUCUGCAUGAGCGUUCGAGUUCCCUGGAAUCCUCUCGCAGGGAGAUAGGGUUUGGAACGCGAAGAGCACCGCAGUUGCGGCGGUGCACGGGAAUUCCCGACGGACCUUGAAAAUCCGGGAGAGGGCCACGUGGAGGUGUCGCGCCGGCUCGUACCCAUAUCCGCAGCAGGUCUCCAAGGUGAAUAGCCUCUAGUC